ACCCGCUGAACUUAAGCAUAUCAANAAGCGGAGGAAAAGAAACCAACCGGGAUUGCCUUAGUAACGGCGAGUGAAGCGGCAAAAGCUCAAAUUUGAAAUCUGGUACCUUCGGUGCCCGAGUUGUAAUUUGGAGAGGGCAACUUUGGGGCCGUUCCUUGUCUAUGUUCCUUGGAACAGGACGUCAUAGAGGGUGAGAAUCCCGUGUGGCGAGGAGUGCGGUUCUUUGUAAAGUGCCUUCGAAGAGUCGAGUUGUUUGGGAAUGCAGCUCUAAGUGGGUGGUAAAUUCCAUCUAAAGCUAAAUAUUGGCGAGAGACCGAUAGCGAACAAGUACAGUGAUGGAAAGAUGAAAAGAACUUUGAAAAGAGAGUGAAAAAGUACGUGAAAUUGUUGAAAGGGAAGGGCAUUUGGUCAGACAUGGUGUUUUGUGCCCUCUGCUCCUUGUGGGUAGGGGAAUCUCGCAUUUCACUGGGCCAGCAUCAGUUUUGGUGGCAGGAUAAAUCCAUAGGAAUGUAGCUUGCCUCGGUAAGUAUUAUAGCCUGUGGGAAUACUGCCAGCUGGGACUGAGGACUGCGACGUAAGUCAAGGAUGCUGGCAUAAUGGUUAUAUGCCGCCCGUCUUGAAACACGACCAAGGAGA
RNAcentral lists this ribosomal RNA (636 nucleotides) under Saccharomyces cerevisiae (brewer's yeast). Its description in RNAcentral is "eukaryotic LSU rRNA". It matches the Rfam family "Eukaryotic large subunit ribosomal RNA", at positions 23 to 674 of the family's 3401-position model. The record is from RNAcentral. Lineage: Eukaryota; Fungi; Ascomycota; Saccharomycetes; Saccharomycetales; Saccharomycetaceae.